UUUGAUCCUGGCUCAGAACGAACGCUGGCGGCGCGCCUAAUACAUGCAAGUCGAGCGAGAAGACGUAGCAAUACGUUUGUAAAGCGGCGAACGGGUGAGGAAUACAUGGGUAACCUACCCUCGAGUGGGGAAUAACUAGCCGAAAGGUUAGCUAAUACCGCGUACGCUCCUUGGACUUCGGUUCAGGGAGGAAAGCGAUACCGUGGGUAUCGCGCUCUUGGAUGGGCUCAUGUCCUAUCAGCUUGUUGGUGAGGUAACGGCUCACCAAGGCUUCGACGGGUAGCUGGUCUGAGAGGACGAUCAGCCACACUGGCACUGCGACACGGGCCAGACUCCUACGGGAGGCAGCAGUAAGGAAUAUUGCGCAAUGGGCGAAAGCCUGACGCAGCGACGCCGCGUGGGGGAUGAAGGUCUUCGGAUUGUAAACCCCUUUCGGGAGGGAAGAUGGAACGAGCAAUCGUUCGGACGGUACCUCCAGAAGCAGCCACGGCUAACUUCGUGCCAGCAGCCGCGGUAAUACGAAGGUGGCAAGCGUUGUUCGGAUUUACUGGGCGUACAGGGAGCGUAGGCGGUUCGGUAAGCCCUCUGUGAAAUCUCCAGGCUUAACCUGGAACAGUCGGAGGGGACUGCUGGGCUAGAGGACGGGAGAGGAGCGCGGAAUUCCCGGUGUAGCGGUGAAAUGCGUAGAGAUCGGGAGGAAAGGCCGGUGGCGAAAGCGGCGCUCUGGAACGUUUCUGACGCUGAGGCUCGAAAGCGUGGGGAGCAAACAGGAUUAGAUACCCUGGUAGUCCACGCCUUAACUAUGAAUACUAAGUGUCGGCGGUUUACCGCCGGUGCCGCAGCUAACGCAUUAAGUAUUCCGCCUGGGAGUACGGCGCAAGGUUGAAACUCAAAGGAUUGACGGGGCCC
RNAcentral lists this ribosomal RNA (909 nucleotides) under uncultured bacterium. Its description in RNAcentral is "bacterial SSU rRNA". It matches the Rfam family "Bacterial small subunit ribosomal RNA", at positions 12 to 921 of the family's 1533-position model. The record is from RNAcentral.